This is a long non-coding RNA of Gossypium raimondii (Peruvian cotton), 2155 nucleotides long. RefSeq lists it as uncharacterized. The transcript is spliced from 2 exons. Lineage: Eukaryota; Viridiplantae; Streptophyta; Magnoliopsida; Malvales; Malvaceae. The record is from RefSeq and is a predicted model, not a curated record.
UCCUCUUUUCUCAUAUUAGUGGUAUAGUAUUAGACCGUUGUCUUCAGAAUGUGUUUUCCGUCUUUUAAGGAUUCAGAAAGUGAUUUGUUUAUAAUUUAUGCUUUUGGUUGGUUUAAAAUAGUUUAACUAUUUUGGUGUAGCAUAGGGAUAUUGAGUUGCCAGGUAUCAAAUUGUACACUGUGCUUGUCACAAGUUUUCAGUGAGAACUCUUCAUUAGUAUCUAAGCUGUGACUUAAAAUUUGCCAUAGGAUGGAUGAUCUCUUUACAGUCAAUCAUCCACGGCAGAUGUAAAGAUUAAAUAAUAAAAUGACAACUUCAAUUAAAUAAAAAAAUAACAAAUUAAUAAUUCAAAACUGAUUAAGCCCAAUGAAGAAGCAACUUGGGUUGGAUUUCUAUGCUUCCUUGAACUGUGUCGGUCUCCUUUACUUUUGUAUUUUGUUUUUGUUCUUAUUUAGUUUCUCUUGAAGUUUUGAAUGGAUUAAUUAGAUAGGUGAACUGCUCAGCUGCUUCUUCAUUAAAUGAGUGUAUUAAAUAGUAUUAUGUUACCGUUGCGGAAGAUUUCAAGAAUCUUUAUUUUUUGGGCAGUGACUGCCCCGCUGCCCGUUUUCUUUAGCCUUUUCACAUCCCACUUCCUUCCCAAAUUUUAAAUACUCAAAUCAUGCUUCAUUCCAUACAUUCCUUCUUUCUUUUUUGUUUUCAUUAUUCUCUCUUCCUCCCUUCUCGUACUUCGCGGAUUCUCUUUUGGUCUCAUUUCAAUUUUUUCCUGUCAUUCUUUUAUAGCUUUGUGUACCCACGGGCAAAACACACACACAAACAUUCAACAGUAGGAAGAUAGUUUUCGUGAGAGGGAGAAACCCUUAAGUUUUUCUCUGCCGGUUCUGUUUGUUGUGAUGUUGAAAUUCCCUGCUUCAUGGGAGAGUCAUUUCAGCCGACGCCCGAAAGAAUUCAAAGACACACUAUACUGUGAUUUUCUCUGCGGUUUCUGUUUUUGGGAUUUUUGGUUUCCCUUGCUUCAUCAGUUAUGAAUCUUUGCUUCAACAUUGUCUUUUCCGUUUCUCUUUUAAUUUAAGAACUAUGCUAUUGUACUGGUAUUUCUUGGUUUAUUUUAUGGCUUUUGGUUUUCAGGUUUAGAAAUCAGCAGUAAAAAAAGUCUGUUAAUUACUUAAAUGGGAAGCAAAAAAUCUGAAAUUGUACUCCCGUUGGCAGUAAAUGACCAGCUUAUUCCCAUAUUCUGUCCUAUUUUUCCUAUAUUUCUAAUGUUCCUUUCUCCCUUUUUAGCUACUUUUUUUCCCUUCUUUACAAAUAUUUUCCUUCUCUCUUGUUUUUUCUUCUCUCAGCCUCUUUUCCUGUGUUUCUUCAAUCUAUAGCUCUCCCGUUCAUUCGCCCUCUCUCUCGAUAUCCUUUCAAUUUUUUCCUUAAUUUUUUAGGUUCGGGUUACCAAAUUCUGUUUUUUGUUUUUUGCUGUUUCUUUUCUUUUUGUAAUUUUUGAAACCCCCUACAUCAUCAUUGGAGAUUGAUUUCAGGUAUGCAUAUAAUUAAACUCUCUCUUUCCUCAUUAUCUCUGUUUUUAGUUGCAGAUAUAUGCUUAUUUUUACUAAUAUUUUCAUUGUGUUUUUUUCAGGGAUUUUGUUUUUUUAACAAUAAUAGUUUUUUACCAAUGUGAGUAAGUUUAGGUUUUAUUAUCUAUUAAAUAUAUAUGAAACUAAUUGACCCGACGUACAUAAAACAAAUCAAUGUAGUCCGAUGUUCUGCCUUGGAAAGAUGAAAAUGUACAAUUGGUAGCACUGUUAUAUUCCCUCCCUAUAAAUUACAAAACCAAUUACUGUACCCCUCUAAAUAUUUUAUCUUACAGGUAAAAAUAAAAUAAAAAUAUUAUAAUAUUGUAAUGCUAAAAAGGAAAAGAACAGGCUUGAAUUCAUGACUCAGUGGAAGCUUCUUCUUCCCAAUGAAAGAGUCGACAUUUCAGGUAUGAAUAUUUAGUUUUCCUCUGUUUUUGCCUUUUCAUGUCUUUUUUUGUUUCAUAUCUAUGCUUCUCUACUUGUAUUAUGUACACGCUUCUUUACAUGUUUUUUUGGUUUUCAAGAUUGAUUGAUUCCACUCAUCUUGUAAUAUAUAUAUUAAUUCGAAAUCUAAAACUGCUUUUAUGCUUUUUGAA